CCUACGGGUGGCUGCAGUCGAGAAUCAUUCACAAUGGGGGAAACCCUGAUGGUGCGACGCCGCGUGGGGGAAUGAAGGUCUUCGGAUUUUAAACUCUUUUCAUGUGGGAGCAAAUUAAAAAGAUAGUACCACAAGAGGAAGCGACGGCUAACUCUGUGCCAGCAGCCGCGGUAAUACCGAGGGCUCAAGCGUUGUUCGGAAUUACUGGGCGUAAGGCGUACGUAGGCUGUUUCGUAAGUCGUGUGUGAAAGGCGCGGGCUCAACCCGCGGACGGCACAUGAUACUGGGAGACUAGAGUAAUGGAGAGGGAAGCGGAAUUCCAGGUGUAGCGGUGAAAUGCGUAGAUAUCGGGAGGAACACUCGUGGCGAAGGCGGGUUCCUGGACAUUAACUGACGCUGAGGCGCGAAGGCGAGGGGAGCAAAAAGGAUUAGAUACCCGAGUAGUC
RNAcentral lists this ribosomal RNA (446 nucleotides) under uncultured bacterium. RNAcentral describes it as "partial 16S ribosomal RNA". It matches the Rfam family "Bacterial small subunit ribosomal RNA", at positions 338 to 795 of the family's 1533-position model. The record is from RNAcentral.